CGGAGGUGCAAGCGUUAUCCGGAUUCACUGGGUUUAAAGGGUGCGUAGGAGGGCAGGUAAGUCAGUGGUGAAAUCUCCAAGCUUAACUUGGAAACUGCCGUUGAUACUAUCUGUCUUGAAUACUGUGGAGGUGAGCGGAAUAUGUCAUGUAGCGGUGAAAUGCUUAGAUAUGACAUAGAACACCAAUUGCGAAGGCAGCUCACUACACAUAUAUUGACUCUGAGGCACGAAAGCGUGGGGAUCAAACAGGAUUAGAUACCCUGGUAGUCCACGCCCUAAACUAUGGAUACUCGACAUACGCGAUAAACUGUGUGUGUCUGAGCGAAAGCAUUAAGUAUCCCACCUGGGAAGUACGACCGCAAGGUUG
This 367-nucleotide ribosomal RNA is filed under the name uncultured organism. Its description in RNAcentral is "bacterial SSU rRNA". It matches the Rfam family "Bacterial small subunit ribosomal RNA", at positions 527 to 896 of the family's 1533-position model. The record is from RNAcentral.